AAAAGAGCAACGGCGAACAAGAUAC
RNAcentral lists this small RNA (25 nucleotides) under Arabidopsis thaliana (thale cress). Its description in RNAcentral is "ATSL007410". The record is from RNAcentral. Lineage: Eukaryota; Viridiplantae; Streptophyta; Magnoliopsida; Brassicales; Brassicaceae.